GAUCCUGGCUCAGGAUGAACGCUGGCGGCGUGCUUAACACAUGCAAGUCGAACGGGAACCUCACGACGGAGACUCGGUUGAAGAUGUGAGAAUUCUAGUGGCGGACGGGGUGAGUAACGCGUGGGUAACCUGCCCAUGAGAGGAGGAUAACAGGGAGAAAUUCUUGCUAAUACUCCAUAUGCUUACGGUAUCGCAUGAUACAGUGAGGAAAGAAUUUCGCUCAUGGAUGGACCCGCGUUUGAUUAGCUAGUUGGUGAGGUAACGGCCCACCAAGGCUGCGAUCAGUAGCCGGACUGAGAGGUUGAACGGCCACAUUGGGACUGAGAUACGGCCCAGACUCCUACGGGAGGCAGCAGUGGGGAAUAUUGGGCAAAGUGGGGGAAACCCUGACCCAGCAACGCCGCGUGAAGGAAGAAGGCUUUCGGGUUGUAAACUUCUUUUAACAGGGAAGAUAAUGACGGUACCUGUUGAAUAAGCCACGGCUAACUACGUGCCAGCAGCCGC
Molecule: ribosomal RNA, 504 nt
Filed under: uncultured bacterium
Lineage: Bacteria
Description: bacterial SSU rRNA
Rfam family: Bacterial small subunit ribosomal RNA
Source: RNAcentral